UACAGAGGGGGCAAGCGUUGUUCGGAAUUACUGGGCGUAAAGGGCGCGUAGGCGGCCUUCUAAGUCGAACGUGAAAUCCCCGGGCUUAACCUGGGAACUGCAUUUGUGACUGCAUCGCUGGAGUGCGGCAGAGGGGGAUGGAAUUCCGCGUGUAGCAGUGAAAUGCGUAGAUAUGCGGAGGAACACCGAUGGCGAAGGCAAUCCCCUGGGCCUGCACUGACGCUCAUGCACGAAAGCGUGGGGAGCAAACAGG
RNAcentral lists this ribosomal RNA (253 nucleotides) under uncultured bacterium. RNAcentral's name for it is "partial 16S ribosomal RNA". It matches the Rfam family "Bacterial small subunit ribosomal RNA", at positions 524 to 776 of the family's 1533-position model. The record is from RNAcentral.